GAUAAACGCUGGCGGCGUGCCUAAUGCAUGCAAGUCGCACGGAGUGCCUCUUCGGGGGCGCUGAGUGGCGAACGGGUGAGGAACGCGUGGAGAACCUACCCGGCGUGGGGGAUACCCGCCAGAAAUGGUGGCUAAUACCGCGUACGGUCCAGGGGCGAGAGGCCAUCUGGAAGAAAGCAGUGAUGCGCGCUGGGAGAGGUCUGCGCCCGAUUAGCUAGUUGGCGGGGAACGGCCCACCAAGGCGGUGAUCGGUAGCUGGUCUGAGAGGAUGAUCAGCCACACGGGGACUGAGACACGGCCCCGACUCCUACGGGAGGCAGCAGCAAGGAAUUUUCCGCAAUGGGGGCAACCCUGACGGAGCAACGCCGCCGUGACGGAUGACG
Molecule: ribosomal RNA, 383 nt
Filed under: uncultured bacterium
Lineage: Bacteria
Description: bacterial SSU rRNA
Rfam family: Bacterial small subunit ribosomal RNA
Source: RNAcentral